Molecule: ribosomal RNA, 497 nt
Filed under: uncultured bacterium
Lineage: Bacteria
Description: partial 16S ribosomal RNA
Rfam family: Bacterial small subunit ribosomal RNA
Source: RNAcentral
GAUGAACGCUGGCGGCGUGCCUAAUACAUGCAAGUCGAGCGAACAGAUGCGGUGCUUGCGCCUCUGACGUUACCGACGGACGGGUGAGUCACACGUGGAUUACCUACCUCUAUGACUUGGAUACCUUCGAGAAACCGUAGCUAAUACCGCAUCAUCUAUUGAACCGCAUGGUUCAGUAGUGAAAUACGGUUUUGCUUUCACUUGUGGCUUGUUCCCCGCCGCGUUAGAUAGUUGGUAAGGUAACGGCCUACCAAGGCAACGAUGCGUAGCCGACCUGAGCGGGGGAUAGGCCACACGGGAAGUGAAACGCGGACCAGGGGACUAAGGGAGGCAGCAGACGGGAAUGGGACGCAGUAGGGGAGAGCCUGACGCAGUAGCGGCGCGUGAGUGAUGACGGUGUUCGGUGCGUAAAACUCGGUUAUGAGGGAAGAACAAAUGUGUAAGUAGAUAUACCGGUCGUGACGGUACCUAAAGAGAAAGCCACGGCUAACUACGUG